Non-coding RNA from Saccostrea cuccullata (small rock oyster), 77 nucleotides. The record is from the annotation of a RefSeq genome assembly. NCBI's taxonomy places the organism in Eukaryota, Metazoa, Mollusca, Bivalvia, Ostreida, Ostreidae.
GCCUAGUCUUUUAGCUCAGUUGGUAGAACACUGGACUGGCAAGCCAGAGGUCCUGGGUUCAAUCCCCAGCAGAGGCA